GAUGCAGUUGAGAGAGAGUUUUUACAACCGUGUAAACUUGUGUAGUGUAGGAAUUGGAAACAUCAGCAAUACAAAAUGGUUCUCUUCGUUCAUGACUGAUGAAGACAAAGCCGUAUCUGGUGUGACCUUUGCGAAAUUGUCAUGCUUCUAUGUCACCUCACCAACGAUGAUGCUGUUACGAGAAGAAAGGAGCUGACACCUACAGUAACAUAAAUUUUAACGGUAUAUGUCUCAACUCUAGGCAAGUGCAAGAGGAACCAUAAGUGUCAAGAAAUUGAGCACGCUAGAGUCCUGAACUAGGAGGGAAAGCAUUUUUCUGUACAAU
This 325-nucleotide long non-coding RNA is filed under the name Oryza brachyantha (malo sina). Its description in RNAcentral is "long non-coding RNA (OBRA_LNC001809)". The record is from RNAcentral. Lineage: Eukaryota; Viridiplantae; Streptophyta; Magnoliopsida; Poales; Poaceae.